Molecule: long non-coding RNA, 1322 nt
Filed under: Zonotrichia albicollis (white-throated sparrow)
Lineage: Eukaryota; Metazoa; Chordata; Aves; Passeriformes; Passerellidae
Description: lncRNA (ENSZALG00000006078.1)
Source: RNAcentral
GUAAAUUUACCCCUUUAAGAGGCUUUCAUAAAUCCCAGAACACACCUUCAGCCAGAUUUGAAUAUAGAUUUAGGUUUUAAAACCCAGAAGCUGGGAACACCGCUUUAUCAAAGAGAAUUUCCCUUUAGCUUAGCAAUGUGUCGGAAUGGCUCUUGCAAAGAUUGGAUCUGCGAGGGGGAAAAAGGGGGAACCUUCUUUCCUGGAGCAAUCCUGCACACACUCUGCAGCUGCCUCUGCCUUCAACCUUCUGCAGCUCGGGGAAAAGUUACCAAAAAAAAAAAAUUUGAUAAUCAUUGUUGCAGCUGUAGGAUCUCGAUUUAAAAAAAAAAAAAAUACAAUUUUUUACUAAUUUUUUUUUAAACUUUCCCGUCUCUUCUGGUCCGUUUGGAGAGCGUUGCAGAGCAGGUACAGCCCCAGAGAUCCAGACUAGCCGGGGCUGGAGGGGAGUGAGUGGAGAUGUGUGAUUUUCUGCCCUCUGAGAACUUUACGCUCAGAGAACCCAAAUCCGCUUCUGGGAUGAAAAGAGAAACUGUAACUUCUGCUUCUCAGGGCUGUGGGAGCCUUGUCCCGCCUGGAAUUUAUGGACUGGUGGGUGCAGCUGCAUUUGUGGGAGGAGAACCUGCAUGGAGAACCAAGGGCAAAGAUGAAGGCAGGAUUCAAGUCUUCCCUCCAUAUGUGCUGUUCCACCGUGGAGGAGAUGUGGAGCUCAUCCCAGCUCUGGAAGAGAUUUUGGGGCUCUCCAAGAUGAUCCUGAUUCAUGCUGUGGAUCCAAAUCAUUCCUUAGCCAGAGAUCAGCUUGUGGGCCUUUCCAAACCAUUCCUGGUGGGGAGAAACCAGAGGUGUUGGUGGAAGAAUGGCUUGUGGGAUGCAGAAGGAAAUUCCUGCCUGAGCUCCUGAACCAUGACACCCUCAGAGGGCUCAUCCAGAACCUCAUUCCCUGCUCUCAUCCUGUGACUGGAGGCCUCCUGGAGCUGGUGGGCCCUGCUAGGAGAGCAGAUUGCUCAGGUGAGGCUUUCUCCUGCAGUUUCUAAUAUCUGAACGUGCAAUGAGAGACAUGGACAAUUCCGGCCCCAAAUACCCAUCCCCAAAUCAAGCCUGGUACUAAAUGGGAAAGAAAAAACUGUAUCUCCCCAUCUCAACGCAUUUUUAAUCAGUGAAAAUGCAUUCUAACAUGCCUUUGAAGAAGACCUCCCCUGACUUGCUUCAUCACUGGCAACAGAAUCCAUCCCUAUCCACCCAGGGCAAAAAGAAAACAUUUAAAAAAAACCCUCCUUAUUUUCUUUUCCCCUCGCACAUUUUCAAUUAAAAUAGAUUUAUGCAAG